CUCCAACGAGCGCAACCCUGAUCCAGCAAUUCUGUGUGCACGAUGAAGGUUUUCGGAUUGUAAAGUGCUUUCAGCAGGGAAGAAAAAAAUGACGGUACCUGCAGAAGAAGCGACGGCUAAAUACGUGCCAGCAGCCGCGGUAAUACGUAUGUCGCAAGCGUUAUCCGGAAUUAUUGGGCAUAAAGGGCAUCUAGGCGGCCAGAUAAGUCUGGGGUGAAAACUUGCGGCUCAACCGCAAGCCUGCCCUGGAAACUAUGUGGCUAGAGUACUGGAGAGGUGGACGGAACUGCACGAGUAGAGGUGAAAUUCGUAGAUAUGUGCAGGAAUGCCGAUGAUGAAGAUAGUUCACUGGACGGUAACUGACGCUGAAGUGCGAAAGCUAGGG
This 385-nucleotide ribosomal RNA is filed under the name uncultured bacterium. RNAcentral describes it as "bacterial SSU rRNA". It matches the Rfam family "Bacterial small subunit ribosomal RNA", at positions 363 to 765 of the family's 1533-position model. The record is from RNAcentral.